CGCUCCUGUAAUGUUUAAAAUACAUGAUUAGUCCGUGCCAACUUCAUCUGAACUUAAACAACUUAAAAAAGCACGAUGCCUUUCACCCGAACUGCGCUAAAAUUAUUCCAUUUUCAUUAUUACCGGUGGAGUAUGAUAUACUAAUAUAAUGCUGAACUUUCUGGAUUAGAUCCCAGGGUCCGCCGUACCUCCUCGUCCUCUCGGGAGUUCUAAGGGAUGUGCUCCUGGCUGGACUGUGGCAGGCACUGUCUGUCCUCCUGCGGGCCAAAGCCAUGAUGCCACUACUGUGUCGCUGAAUCGACAAUGUGGCGUCCCGUCCGCUGCAGCAGGGACCACUGAUCGACGGCAGUAUUGAGGGAUCACGCCCACGGGAAUCAAACGCUGGUCUUCAGCCUCGAGGCGCUGGGCUUAUGUACCAUAUCCAUUGCCGAAUCGUAUCCCAGCAGGACAAAAGCGAACCCGUUGCAAGAGCCCAAAUCUAACAAGCCGACGUCACAUUUCGACCUGGCCAUUGAAAACUAUCUCAAGGACUUUGGCUAUGGCAACCAAGGGAGGGAUACGCGGACUACCAGACUAUAGAUAGAUCUCGUUGUUAAUAGGUUUAAGGAUACACACAUCUGUACAUUUAGA
RNAcentral lists this small RNA (630 nucleotides) under Drosophila pseudoobscura pseudoobscura. Its description in RNAcentral is "GA32686". The record is from RNAcentral. Lineage: Eukaryota; Metazoa; Arthropoda; Insecta; Diptera; Drosophilidae.